AAAUUGAAGAGUUUGAUCAUGGCUCAGAUUGAACGCUGGCGGCAGGCCUAACACAUGCAAGUCGAACGGUAACAGGAAGCAGCUUGCUGCUUUGCUGACGAGUGGCGGACGGGUGAGUAAUGUCUGGGAAACUGCCCGAUGGAGGGGGAUAACUACUGGAAACGGUAGCUAAUACCGCAUAACGUCGCAAGACCAAAGAGGGGGACCUACGGGCCUCUUGCCAUCGGAUGUGCCCAGAUGGG
RNAcentral lists this ribosomal RNA (242 nucleotides) under Escherichia coli O25b:H4-ST131. Its description in RNAcentral is "partial 16S ribosomal RNA". It matches the Rfam family "Bacterial small subunit ribosomal RNA", at positions 1 to 239 of the family's 1533-position model. Lineage: Bacteria; Pseudomonadati; Pseudomonadota; Gammaproteobacteria; Enterobacterales; Enterobacteriaceae. The record is from RNAcentral.